CGCCUGGAACGGUGAGUGGACGAAAGCUCCGGCGGCAUAGGAUGGGCCUGCGGCGUAUCAGGUUGUAGGGGGUGUAACGUACCCUCUAGCCAUCUACGCGUACGGGUGUUGGGAGACAUAGCCCGGAGAUGGAUUCUGAGACACGAAUCCAGACCCUACGGGGUGCAGCAGGCGCGAAAACUUGGCAAUGCGAGAAAUCGUGACCAGGGAACUCCAAGUGCAUCGGGUAAGACCGGUGCUUUUCUUGACUCUAAAUAGGUCUUGGAAUAAGGGGUGGGUAAGGACGGUGCCAGCCGCCGCGGUAAUACCGGCGCCUCAAGUGGUAGUCGCUUUUAUUGGGCCUAAAACGUCCGUAGCCGGUCUGAUACAUUCGUGGGUAAAUCAACCAGCUCAACUGGUUGAAUUCUGCGAGGACGGUCAGACUUGGGACCGGGAGAGGUGUGGGGUACGCUCAGGGUAGGGGUAAAAUCCUGUCAUCCUGAGCGGACCACCUGUUGCGAAGGCGCCACACUAGAACGGAUCCGACGGUCAGGGACGAAGCCUAGGGGCACGAACCGGAUUAGAUACCCGGGUAGUCCUAGGUGUAAACGCUGUGGACUUGAUGUUGGGGGUGCUCCGAGCACUCUCAGUGUCGAAGCGAAGGUGAUAAGUCCACUGCCUGGGAAGUACGGUCGCAAGGCUGAAACUUAAAGGAAUUGGCGGGGGAGCACCGCAACCUGAGGAUUGUGCGGUUUAAUUGGACUCAACGCCGGAA
This 754-nucleotide ribosomal RNA is filed under the name uncultured Candidatus Poseidoniales archaeon. RNAcentral describes it as "bacterial SSU rRNA". It matches the Rfam family "Archaeal small subunit ribosomal RNA", at positions 167 to 923 of the family's 1478-position model. Lineage: Archaea; Methanobacteriati; Thermoplasmatota; Candidatus Poseidoniia; Candidatus Poseidoniales. The record is from RNAcentral.